AUUGAACGCUGGCGGCAGGCCUAACACAUGCAAGUCGAACGGUAACAGGAAGAAGCUUGCUUCUUUGCUGACGAGUGGCGGACGGGUGAGUAAUGUCUGGGAAACUGCCUGAUGGAGGGGGAUAACUACUGGAAACGGUAGCUAAUACCGCAUAACGUCGCAAGACCAAAGAGGGGGACCUUCGGGCCUCUUGCCAUCGGAUGUGCCCAGAUGGGAUUAGCUAGUAGGUGGGGUAACGGCUCACCUAGGCGACGAUCCCUCGCUGGUCUGAGAGGAUGACCAGCCACACUGGAACUGAGACACGGUCCAGACUCCUACGGGAGGCAGCAGUGGGGAAUAUUGCACAAUGGGCGCAAGCCUGAUGCAGCCAUGCCGCGUGUAUGAAGAAGGCCUUCGGGUUGUAAAGUCCUUUCCGCGGGGAGGAAGGGAGUAAAGUUAAUACCUUUGCUCAUUGACGUUCCCCGCAGAAGACGCCCCGGCUAACUCCG
RNAcentral lists this ribosomal RNA (488 nucleotides) under uncultured bacterium. Its description in RNAcentral is "partial 16S ribosomal RNA". It matches the Rfam family "Bacterial small subunit ribosomal RNA", at positions 30 to 505 of the family's 1533-position model. The record is from RNAcentral.